CCUACGGGAGGCUGCAGUGAGGAAUAUUGGUCAAUGGGCGCGAGCCUGAACCAGCCAAGUCGCGUGAGGGAGGACGGCCCUACGGGUUGCAAACCUCUUUUGCCGGGGAGCAACGUGCGUCACGUGUGGCGCCACUGAUAGUCCCCGGAGAAAAAGCAUCGGCUAACUCCGUGCCAGCAGGCGCGGUAAUACGAAGGAGGCGGGCGUUCUCCGGGUGUAUUGGGUGUAAAGGGUCCGUAGGCGGACCGUUAGGUCAGUGGUCAAAUUGAGGGGCUCAACCCCUUCCCGCCAUGGAAACUGGCGCUCUUGAGUGGAAGAGAGGUAGGCGGAAUGCGUGGUGUAGCGGUGAAAUGCAUAGAUAUCACGCAGAACCCCGAUUGCGAAGGCAGCAUGCCGGCUUCCGACUGACGCUGAGGCACGAAAGCGUGGGGAUCGAACAGGAUUAGAUACCCGGGUAGUC
RNAcentral lists this ribosomal RNA (460 nucleotides) under uncultured bacterium. Its description in RNAcentral is "partial 16S ribosomal RNA". It matches the Rfam family "Bacterial small subunit ribosomal RNA", at positions 338 to 795 of the family's 1533-position model. The record is from RNAcentral.